This 429-nucleotide ribosomal RNA is filed under the name Acidobacteriota bacterium. RNAcentral's name for it is "Acidobacteria bacterium partial 16S ribosomal RNA". It matches the Rfam family "Bacterial small subunit ribosomal RNA", at positions 355 to 776 of the family's 1533-position model. The record is from RNAcentral. Lineage: Bacteria; Pseudomonadati; Acidobacteriota.
UGGGGAAUUUUGGACAAUGGGGGAAACCCUGAUCCAGCCAUCCCGCGUGUGCGAUGAAGGCCUUCGGGUUGUAAAGCACUUUUGGCAGGAAAGAAACGUCAUGGGUUAAUACCCCGUGAAGCUGACGGUACCUGAAGAAUAAGCACCGGCUAACUACGUGCCAGCAGCCGCGGUAAUACGUAGGGUGCAAGCGUUAAUCGGAAUUACUGGGCGUAAAGCGUGCGCAGGCGGUUCGGUAAGAAAGAUGUGAAAUCCCAGGGCUCAACUUUGGAACUGCAUUUGUAACUACCGGGCUAGAGUGUGUCAGAGGGAGGUGGAAUUCCGCGUGUAGCAGUGAAAUGCGUAGAUAUGCGGAGGAACACCGAUGGCGAAGGCAGCCUCCUGGGAUAACACUGACGCUCAUGCACGAAAGCGUGGGGAGCAAACAGG